RNAcentral lists this ribosomal RNA (251 nucleotides) under uncultured bacterium. RNAcentral describes it as "partial 16S ribosomal RNA". It matches the Rfam family "Bacterial small subunit ribosomal RNA", at positions 85 to 339 of the family's 1533-position model. The record is from RNAcentral.
CUGGCGGCGAGUGGCGAACGGGUGAGUAAUAUAUCGGAACGUACCCAGUAGCGGGGGAUAACGCAGCGAAAGCCGGAUUAAUACCGCAUACGACCUACGGGUGAAAGCGGGGGACCGAAAGGCCUCGCGCUAUUGGAGCGGCCGAUGGCUGAUUAGCUAGUUGGUGGGGUAAAAGCCUACCAAGGCUACGAUCAGUAGCUGGUCUGAGAGGACGACCAGCCACACUGGGACUGAGACACGGCCCAGACUCC